UCUAAAAUGACAGAGAGAUGUAUAGGAUUUAAGCUCCUACCAGGAAGGAUUCCCUUCUUUUAGAA
Molecule: transfer RNA, 65 nt
Filed under: Cherax sp. HMG-2016
Lineage: Eukaryota; Metazoa; Arthropoda; Malacostraca; Decapoda; Parastacidae
Description: tRNA-Leu
Source: RNAcentral